GGCCCCAGUAUGCAGUAAUCAAACUAUCCCACUGGGUGGCAGAUUUCCAAGUUUUUCCAAUUCCUCUUAAACUCAGCUUGAUCCCUGAAAGCAUUUCCUGAUAUUAAAUGAAUAACAGUACAGUGAAAGCAGCACUGGCAUAACUGUCGCAUUCAUGACAAACAGAUGUCUUCACAAGUUGCUGUUUUAAUGUUGACUGUGGCUCCCAUACACUCCAUGAGUGCCGUUUCAAUGUUAAGGAGUGUGAAGAGCCUGUCCCCAUAACUCACUGAUAAGAGACGCAAUCUCCCGUCAUUGCCAGUGAAAUGUUCUGUUAUCUCAUGCCAAGUAAUAAGAAUCAACCAUUUAUCAUCAUUCAAAACAAGAUGCCUCUCCUCCACGGGUACCAUGCAAACCCAUGCCUACUAAGAACAACUUCUUGGACUCAAGGCAAACAAAGGAGAAAAAGAAGGUCUGUGUCCACUGAGAGGUCACUGGGGUUGGGUUAGGCCCUGUCAGCAUUGUACCCUCUGUUUAAGUCAUUACAAUAUUGCCAUUGUGGGCAAUCAUGAUGACAAAGCAGAGCAGCAUCAAGGGAUCUAGAUGCAUGUCUUUGUAUUUUUAUGUACAGUCUCUCUGUGCGGUCACAUUCGCACACACUGACACUACUGGCCUUUCCAUAUUUCCCAGAUUUUUCUUAGAGUCAUUUCAGACAACAGAUGGGUUAUGAUGAUAAGUGAGACUGAGAAGUGAUAGUUUUCUUCUCUCCGCCCACAUGGUAAUAUUUCAUAAUUGUUGUUGUAAGUGGAGCUACUCUAUACACACCCAAACCGUUUAAGGAGGCCCCUAAGAUCAUUUGGAUUCUCAAGACUUGGUUUGCCUGUUGGAACUUUCCUAGCAUCGUGUUGUUUUCAUGCGGUCACAGUGCAUGAAAAUAUGGUGGACGUAGUUAUAUAUUUUGGACCUCUCUUCAUCACCUCAGGAGCCUAUUAGAUAUUAUCUUGAGUGUCAAAGAAGUUUUGCACACAAACUCAAAGACAAAGCUCUGAUGCGUGGAGCCUCCAGACAAUGAAAGCAGAUCGAGAGAAGUGAAGAUCUACUCACGACAGAAACACAGAAGAACAGAUG
This is a long non-coding RNA of Ctenopharyngodon idella (grass carp), 1107 nucleotides long. RefSeq lists it as uncharacterized. The transcript has 3 exons. Lineage: Eukaryota; Metazoa; Chordata; Actinopteri; Cypriniformes; Xenocyprididae. The record is from RefSeq and is a predicted model, not a curated record.